AUGAACGCUGGCGGCGUGCCUAAUACAUGCAAGUCGAGCGAACAGACGAGGAGCUUGCUCCUCUGACGUUAGCGGCGGACGGGUUAGUAACACGUUGAUAACCUACCUAUAAGACUGGGAUAACUUCGGGAAACCGGAGCUAAUACCGGAUAAUAUAUUUAACCGCAUGGUUCAAUAGUGAAAGACGGUUUUGCUUUCACUUAUAGAUGGAUCCGCGCCGCAUUAGCUAGUUGGUAAGGUAACGGCUUACCAAGGCAACGAUGCGUAGCCGACCUGAGAGGGUGAUCGGCCACACUGGAACUGAGACACGGUCCAGACUCCUACGGGAGGCAGCAGUAGGGAAUCUUCCGCAAUGGGCGAAAGCCUGACGGAGCAACGCCGCGUGAGUGAUGAAGGUCUUCGGAUCGUAAAACUCUGUUAUUAGGGAAGAACAAAUGUGUAAGUAACUAUGCACGUCUUGACGGUACCUAAUCAGAAAGCCACGGCUAACUACGUG
RNAcentral lists this ribosomal RNA (496 nucleotides) under uncultured bacterium. RNAcentral's name for it is "partial 16S ribosomal RNA". It matches the Rfam family "Bacterial small subunit ribosomal RNA", at positions 29 to 507 of the family's 1533-position model. The record is from RNAcentral.